This 228-nucleotide unclassified non-coding RNA is filed under the name Polyscias joskei. The record is from RNAcentral. Lineage: Eukaryota; Viridiplantae; Streptophyta; Magnoliopsida; Apiales; Araliaceae.
CUUGNGCGAGAGUAGUACUAGGAUGGGUGACCCCCUGGGAAGUCCUCGUGUUGCACCCCCCYCUCCUUUUUGCAUCUGUUUGGGGGAAGGAAACGCGCGUACGAGAGAACGUGGCUUAAUAAACGCGCACGCGNUACGCAUAACUCACAACGCGCGGCACCGACACGUGGGAAUGUAGGCACAAAAUCGGACAAUCCUAACGGUUGGGAAUAUAGGAGUAAAAAGGGA